UUGCAACCACAUCACAUUGAGACACCGGUUCCCGUUAGAUCACACAAAUUAAGCAACACCGAGCCUGGUUAGUACCUAGAUGGGUGACCGUUUGGAAAUGCCAGGUGCU
Molecule: non-coding RNA, 109 nt
Organism: Acanthosepion pharaonis
Lineage: Eukaryota; Metazoa; Mollusca; Cephalopoda; Sepiida; Sepiidae
Source: the annotation of a GenBank genome assembly